AAGUCGUAACAAGGUUUCCGUAGGUGAACCUGCGGAAGAUCAUUAACACGUAUCCAACGUUAAACCCCCCGUGAACCUUUAUUGUGGCACGCCUAUCCGUUAGAAAGUGGAAUCAUCGCCGAGUUUUGAUUCAGGGACUUCUGCGUGGGUAGGACAACUGCGCGAGCAAGUGGCCUGGCAUCCCUCUGCUUGUUAGUGUCUGAAAGUGUCACUACGCAAUCACGAUGGCUACGGCCAGCGACCGGGUCAAUGGGCCCGGCCCCCUAGAUCACCCCUUUGCAUGAAAACGGGCCUGCGCUUAAUUGUGCGGCCACCAAACUCGAACAACUGUUAACAAUGGAUAUCUUGGUUCUC
RNAcentral lists this unclassified non-coding RNA (354 nucleotides) under fungal sp. RNAcentral describes it as "partial internal transcribed spacer region". The stretch from base 1 to 45 matches the Rfam family "Eukaryotic small subunit ribosomal RNA", at positions 1786 to 1831 of the family's 1831-position model. Lineage: Eukaryota; Fungi. The record is from RNAcentral.